RNAcentral lists this small nuclear RNA (23 nucleotides) under Arabidopsis thaliana (thale cress). RNAcentral's name for it is "snRNA_06784". The record is from RNAcentral. Lineage: Eukaryota; Viridiplantae; Streptophyta; Magnoliopsida; Brassicales; Brassicaceae.
CACUAUCAAUUAGUGAACUCCAA